GCCUCGGUGGUGUAGUGGUAGCACGCGUCCCCGGUAUGAAUGAAACGAGGAUUCGAAUGCCGCGUGAGUCG
This is a non-coding RNA of Parelaphostrongylus tenuis, 71 nucleotides long. Lineage: Eukaryota; Metazoa; Nematoda; Chromadorea; Rhabditida; Metastrongylidae. The record is from the annotation of a GenBank genome assembly.